Molecule: ribosomal RNA, 253 nt
Filed under: uncultured bacterium
Lineage: Bacteria
Description: partial 16S ribosomal RNA
Rfam family: Bacterial small subunit ribosomal RNA
Source: RNAcentral
UACGGAGGGGGCUAGCGUUGUUCGGAAUUACUGGGCGUAAAGCGCACGUAGGCGGACUGUUAAGUCGGGGGUGAAAUCCUGGGGCUCAACCUCAGAAUUGCCUCCGAUACUGGCAGUCUCGAGUGCGGGAGAGGUGAGUGGAAUUCCCAGUGUAGAGGUGAAAUUCGUAGAUAUUGGGAAGAACACCAGUGGCGAAGGCGGCUCACUGGCCCGUAACUGACGCUGAGGUGCGAAAGCGUGGGGAGCAAGCAGG